AACCCAUCAUAAGACAUAAUGGCAUCAAGUUCUCAUGAUGUUCACUCACCAUGUGCUACCUACGCUCCUGCAACUGAGUCACCGUCUGUUUCUGAGCAGAACAUCAGGAUCAACGAGGAACCCAUGACACAAGUAAGCAGAUGAACCCAUCAUAAUGACAUCAAGAUCCCAAGAUGUUCACUCUCUAUGCGCAACCUACGCUCUUGAAACCGAGUCUACCCCCUCUGUUGUCAACACUUCCGAGCAGAACAUUAGGAACAACAAGGAACCCAUGAUCGAGCAAGGUUCAGUCAUGGUCUACAGCAGCAGUACCCCUUGAUCAGCCUGCUCUCGAUGUAUGUGUAAAACUCAGCCUGGGGAGAUUCAUCAUUCUUGGAUGUCACCAUCAGAUGAAAGCAUCCUCAUCAGUUGACGGCGAGGAAAA
Molecule: long non-coding RNA, 424 nt
Organism: Asterias rubens (European starfish)
Lineage: Eukaryota; Metazoa; Echinodermata; Asteroidea; Forcipulatida; Asteriidae
Exons: 3
Source: RefSeq, a predicted model, not a curated record